UCCCAGACUCCUACGGGAGGCAGCAGUGGGGGAUAUUGCACAAUGGGGGGAACCCUGAUGCAGCGACGCCGCGUGGGUGAAGGAGCGUUUCGGCGCGUAAAGCCCUAUCGGCAGGGAAGAAGGAGGACGGUACCUGACUAAGAAGCCCCGGCUAACUACGUGCCAGCAGCCGCGGUAAUACGUAGGGGGCAAGCGUUAUCCGGAUUUACUGGGUGUAAAGGGAGCGUAGACGGCCAUGCAAGCCAGGGGUGAAAGCCCGGGGCCCAACCCCGGGACUGCCCUUGGAACUGCAUGGCUGGAGUGCGGGAGGGGCAGGCGGAAUUCCUGGUGUAGCGGUGAAAUGCGUAGAUAUCAGGAGGAACACCGGCGGCGAAGGCGGCCUGCUGGACCGCGACUGACGUUGAGGCUCGAAAGCGUGGGGAGCAAACAGGAUUAGAUACCCCCGUAU
This 448-nucleotide ribosomal RNA is filed under the name uncultured bacterium. RNAcentral describes it as "partial 16S ribosomal RNA". It matches the Rfam family "Bacterial small subunit ribosomal RNA", at positions 329 to 793 of the family's 1533-position model. The record is from RNAcentral.